GAUGAACGCUGGCGGCGUGCCUAACACAUGCAAGUCGAGCGAUUCUCUUCGGAGAAGAGCGGCGGACGGGUGAGUAACGCGUGGGUAACCUGCCCUGUACACACGGAUAACAUACCGAAAGGUAUGCUAAUACGAGAUAAUAUGCUUUUAUCGCAUGGUAGAAGUAUCAAAGCUCCGGCGGUACAGGAUGGACCCGCGUCUGAUUAGCUAGUUGGUAAAGUAACGGCUUACCAAGGCGACGAUCAGUAGCCGACCUGGGAGGGUGAUCGGCCACAUUGGAACUGAGACACGGUCCAAACUCCUACGGGAGGCAGCAGUGGGGAAUAUUGCACAAUGGGCGAAAGCCUGAUGCAGCAACGCCGCGUGAGCGAUGAAGGCCUUCGGGUCGUAAAGCUCUGUCCUCAAGGAAGAUAAUGACGGUACUUGAGGAGGAAGCCCCGGCUAACUACGUGCCAGCAGCCGCGGUAA
This 468-nucleotide ribosomal RNA is filed under the name uncultured bacterium. RNAcentral describes it as "partial 16S ribosomal RNA". It matches the Rfam family "Bacterial small subunit ribosomal RNA", at positions 28 to 523 of the family's 1533-position model. The record is from RNAcentral.